This 71-nucleotide transfer RNA is filed under the name Marmota marmota marmota (Alpine marmot). It matches the Rfam family "tRNA". Rfam says of the family: Transfer RNA (tRNA) molecules are approximately 80 nucleotides in length. Their secondary structure includes four short double-helical elements and three loops (D, anti-codon, and T loops). The record is from Rfam by way of RNAcentral. RNAcentral also lists the same sequence under 1 other name. Lineage: Eukaryota; Metazoa; Chordata; Mammalia; Rodentia; Sciuridae.
GAGGUUGUGGCUAAGUGGCAAAGCGCUCACCUAGCACGUGUGAGGCCCUGGGUUUGAUCCUCAGAACCACA